RNAcentral lists this long non-coding RNA (7719 nucleotides) under Canis lupus familiaris (dog). RNAcentral's name for it is "lncRNA (ENSCAFG00000056506.1)". The record is from RNAcentral. Lineage: Eukaryota; Metazoa; Chordata; Mammalia; Carnivora; Canidae.
UUUUUUUUUUUUUUUUUUUUUACCUGAGUACCUUUCUCUUUUGCCGGUCCUUGGCGGCUGCAGACCUGGCUGAUUUUAGUGACUCCGGGGUGCUCCCAGAUAUUCGUGCCACCUUUAAAAUCCAAAAUCCCCCGACUCUCGCUUGCUCUUUUCUCAUCCCAACCGUAGAUCCUUACUCCUCAUGGUAAAUUCGUUUUUAAAUUAAUUUGAGUGUGAUCCUUGCAUGCAGAACUCACUGGAUAACGAUGUCUUAUUGGGUGAAUCAGAAGCCAUCCUGUUGGCGACUUAUCUUAAUUUCUGGAUAUUAAACUACACAGUAGCUGUGUUGUUUGCCCUUAAGAAAGGUCUUAAAUUUCCACCUCUAAAAUACCACACUAUACAAUCAUUUUCAUAGGUGGAUGUCUACCAAGAUUGAUUCACUAAAAAAAAGAAAGAAAGAAAGAAAGAAAGAAAGAAAGAAAGAAAGAAAGAAAACAUGAUGCAGAGUUUUUUUUUUAAUGUUGUAGAAACAUUUCAUACUGAGCCAGAUGAUUUGUCCUGCCACACCAUUUAUUAUGGCUUUUCACUAACUGUAAGAUUUAACAGGAAAUUGAUAUGGCAUAAAUAGAUAACUUUUCCUUGUUCACCAGCUAAGAUUUUAUUUGCUUUCUGUUAUAUCACAGUAGCUCUAUCAUAAUAAUGAUAGAACAAUUAGUAUAUCCUUGUAGAUAAAUAAUGAUUUGAGCAUUUAUCAUUGUUUUAUGUAGAAUUUGUUGUGAGAGCGUAUAUGAAAUUUUAUUUUUAUAAGUGUUGAUAAAUAGUAGAUUUUUUUUGCUUUUGGAUAAUGACUGAAGACAAAAAUAGCUCAUAAGAAAAAAAAACCUUAAGGUUUAUUUAAGAAACUUAAAACUCUAAAGAAACUUUUCCUUAAAAAAACAGGGUCAUUAACCGGUAAAAACUUGACCAUGGAGAAUUAGGAAGGGAGAAUCAGAAAGUCAGCUCUGCUUCCCCUGCAGUGACUCAGGAACAACAAAAAAUGAGGAAAGGUACAGCCCUUCUGAUGCAGUCAUCACUGUGCAAAAGCAUCUCUCUGGUAUCAAGGGGGGGGGGGUGUCAUUCAAGUGUUCCCACCUUCUCUGAGGUUAACAAGCAGAAUCUACAAGUUACUGUCUUAGUAACAACCAAUCGCAUCGGAUACCUGCUUCCUUAAAUGCUAUGGGAGUAGGGGCAGGAUUUAGGGUCGGGGCAAGUUCUGGGAAGAGGCGCUCUGUGGAAACAGCCUUGGGGCCCCAGGAUUUGUCAGCAGCUCUCUGCUCUCUCUUGCCCUCUGGAUUCCCCAGGCUUCUCGGGGCUGCCUUUAGAAAGCUCUCAUCCUAGUGGCCGCCCGAGUUUGCUCCAGCCGCGAUAACGAAGGGGCUUGCUAUCUAAUCUGGACAGCAGCUUGAACAAUCCAUUAGACCUCGGCAUUUAUCCGGGGCGGGGGUGGAGGGAGGGAUGCGAUCUGGCUGCCCCACCCUGUUCUGGGAGGCUUUGAGCUGCCCCAUUUGGCGACAGGAGGGAUUAAUGAAAUAGAGAGUUUGGUGUGGGCUCAAAACUGACCACUGCGAAGUAGGCUUCCUGAGGCUGGUAUGUUAUAUUUCUAUCCUUUGCCAGUAUAAGAAUGAAUUAGAAUCCCUUUGGGUUUGGCAGAUCAAAUUUCCUUUUAAGAAGUUCAACAUAUAGUUUAAGAAGUUCAAUAUAUAGUUUACAUAGUCUCAUUCAAACUCCACAAUAAUCAAAGGGCACUGUAAGAAUCCAAUAUUCACCAAUAUUCCUCCGGACUUGGGAGACUUAAAUCCAUCCUCCAUUCUUUCGUUCAUUCAUUCAGCAAACAUUUACAAAGCUUUACUCUGGGCCAGGCAUUGUGCCUUGUACUGACAGGUUAAAUUAUUUGCCCAAGAUGAGAACUCCACUGGCGACUGGGGUGGGACCCUAAAUCAACUAUUCCAGUCCCGUGACUGCUCACUUCUUUACUCCAACACAUACAAAUCAGAGAGGUCGGGAGCUAGAAGGGCCCCAGAGGUUAUCUGGUUCAGCCUUCCAUUCAAUGCAGGAAUCCCCUCCCCAGAAGGCCAGCAACAGUCUCUACCCUUAGUAAUAAUCACUCCUGCCUGAGAUUUCCGCUUGAAAGUGACUCACUGGACUGGCAGGUCUUUCCCUGAGAGAGGAUCAUCUCUGCCUGCCCACACCUAAACUCAGGGUGCUAAGCCCCUCAUGCUGCUGCAACCCACAUCCCACUAACCCAGCUGUGCCACUUCCCCUUCAGACUUCUCCUGGAGAGGGAAAUCCCAGUUGCUAGACACUAACCCCAUGAAACUUUAAAGCUCUAUGGGCCUUAGGCAAAUCUUCACUUGCCCACAGAGGAUAUUUGCUGGCAGAGAAAACACUAUAGGCAAUAGCCAAAGAAUCACCAGAGCCUGGAUUCUAGUCCUGAUGCAACCAGCUGCAAACUGGGUGACCGCAAGCAAAUUAUUUCUCUUCUAUUUCUGGCAUAUCCUAGAAAUAAGAUGUAUGAAUGUGCUUCUCAAUAGUUGAGUGCCACCUUCUUCCAAGAUAAAUUUUCCCUUCGUACAUAAUCUGAGAUUAUUCUCAUUUGCUGGUUAAAAAGGUAAAGGCUACAAAAGGCAACUUCUGGACAAUAAGCUCAUGACAAAGAAUGUUCUGGAAACUUUAGAUUUGAUGAGAUACUAAGUGCAAAUUGUCCCUGGGUCAGUGGUAAGAGUCUGGACUCCAGUGUUACAAUAAUAUGUUGAAUCUCAUCUGCACUACUUACUGGCUGUGUUACUUGGGCAUAUUCUUAACAUUUCUGUGCUUCAGUUUCUUAUAUUUUGAAAUUCCCAUAAACUUUACAAGACAGGGACGCCUGGGUGGCUCAGCAAUUGAGCAUCUGCCUUCCGCUCAGGACGUGAUCCCGGGAUCUCACAUCGGGCUCUUUGCAUGGAGCCUGCUUAUCCUCCCUCUGCCUGUGUCUCUCCUCUCUCUCUGUGUCUCUUAUGAAUAAAUAAAUAAAAUAUUUUUUUAAAUUAAAAAAAAACUUUACAAGACAAACAGGACCUCUCCUCAGUCCCUGAAAUAGUCUCUACAGCGUGAUUCAUUCAGUUGGGCAUCAAUGUCCCUCCUUGAUUUCUUUUUUUUUUUUUUUCCUCCUUGAUUUCAUUUGGCUUUGUUUGUUUGUUUCUUACCUCUGGCUUCAAAGCCCUUAAGAAAUUAAAUUUGUCUGAUAAAAUGUGGAAAUUUACCUGAAAAAUUGAUAGAUGUAUUUUUAAGUUAUCUGGCCCAAAAUUGAGUGCUGCUGGUGGUGGAAAUUUUGGAUGCAACAUUUCUAGAACGCAAUCUUGCAAUACAGAUCUAAAACCCUAUAAGUGUUCACAUUCUUGGGCCCACUUUUCCAGUAAUAGAAAUUUACACCCCGCCCCAAAAAAGAAAUUUACCCCAAGGAAAGAAUCAGAGGUCUAUGAGGUGCCCUACUUACCAAAAUGUAUGUCAAUUUGACAAGGGCACAUCAAACUUCUAUUUAUUAUAGCAAAAAGUAGAAAACAACACAAACUAUGAACAGUAAGAGUUUAUUUACAUAAACAACGCAAAACCUAUAAUGUAGCCGUCACACUGUUUCCUUAAAAUAUUUAAUGACAGAGGGACGCCUGGGUGACUCAGUCAGUAGAGCCAGCCCCAGACUCUUGGCUUCAGCUCAGGUCAUGAUCUCAGGGUUGUGAGAUUGAGCCCUGCGCAGGGCUUGCUCCAUGCUCUGCUUGUUCGUCUCCCUCCCCGCACCCUCGUGCUUUCUUUUUCAAAUAAAUAAGUAAAUAAAUAAAAUCUUUAAAAAUAUGUAAUGACAUGGAAAUUGUCGUAUUUAAAAAAAUUAAAAAUAGACUGCAAAAACACUCUAUACGGUGUGAAAGUGGUGGAGAGAGGUGGGAGGAAGGAGAAAACAAAUGUUCUCAGUGGUUCUUUCUGGCUGAUGCAGUGAAGGAUAGAUUUUCUCUUUCUUGAUAUGCUUUCCUGUAUUUUCCAAAUGAAUUACAAUGAGUUCCUGUUUCCUUGACAUUAGAAAAAGAGAUGUUUUGAGAGGCGUGGGGAGGAUUGAUCAAAUCCAAGAUAUGUCUCUUCCUAUGAUUUUGAUUUUGUGACUAUUGUGCUUAUGACAAAAGCAUAUCCAUUUUAGAGAAUUCUGCUUUAGACUUCGAAAACUCAAUGGACUCAAACUCCAAGAAUAGUCUCGGACUCUUGAUUCCUGGAUGAAGACGUUUACCAUUGGUAGGAGUGAUUUUUCCACAAAGAGGUCUCCCCUCCCCCUUUAGAAAAUUUUUUCACAGCCAUCCAGAUUGUCUCAGAAUUUCACUUGUAACCUUGAGUGUUUCUGAAAUUGAAAACAAUAGUCUAACUUCUUGUAACUUUCCUCUUCUCAAAACUCCCUUUGCUGGCAGAAGAGUGUGCUGGAAUGUAAGGCCAGGUGCUGGUCCAGCUGCAAAUAAAAGCUGAUUAUUCAGACCCCGGAGAAGGGGAGGAGAGCUUGGACAGGGGAGGGAAGACAGACCUUUGGUGGUGCCCCAAAGCUGGAGAGGGUGUUCAAAAAGAAGACCUUUGUGAAAGCAAGAAAGUUAACCCCUAAGAAUGGGACUGAAGACCAUAUGAAUUACAGGACAUGUUUCAAUGACUGUCAGCUCCCAUUAUUGAACUGAAAUAGUUUUAAUUUAUUAAAAGGAGUAGCACUUUAUAAAGAUGAAGGCUGCUUUCCUCCCCCUUUAUAAGCAGAGUGUGAAAUGAGCUUGUGUGUGUGUGUGGGGGGAGAAUAUUAACAAAAAGGAACAAAAUCCCACCAUAAACUUAGGGAAACUUAGGGGCAUCUGGCUGGCUCACUGAGUGUAACGUGCAACUCUAGAUCUCGGGGUUGUAAGUUCAAGCCUCAUAUUGGGUGUAGAGAUUACUUAAAAAUAAAAUCUUUUAAAAAGUAUGUACUAAAAUUUAGUGAAACUUCAAAAGACCUUGUACUGAGAUUUUUAAUUAAAAUGUGGCACAUUUGGUCAACAGAAGAUAAAAGUAACAUCAAACUAAAGAUCAGUUUCAUUGUUGUUAAUUAGCAAGUAAACAUUUAACAAAAAUUGUAGUCUAAGUAUAGUAGAAAUAUAGACUUAAAAUACCUCUCCUAUUCUCCUUCUUUAUUUAUUCAGGAGAGGCAGAGAGACAUAGGCAGAAGGAGAAGCAGGCUCCCUGUAGGGAGCCCAAUAUAGGACUGGAUCCCAGGACCCCAGGAUCAGGCCCUGUGCCAAAGGCAGAUGCUCAACUGAGCCACCCAGGCGCCCCACUUUUUAAAAUUUUUUUAACAUUGAGGUCAGCCUUUGUUUGUUUGGCAGGCCACAAGGGAAUCUGAAUAGAAUUUUGGUAGAACCACAGAACUUUAAUUUUUAUAGGAUUACAGUUUUUUUUUUAAGUUUCAGUUUAUUUUAUUUAUGAUAGUCACACAGAGAAAGAGAGAGAUAGAGGCAGAGACAUAGGCAGAGGGAGAAGCAGGCUCCAUGCACCGGGAGCCCGAUGUGGGAUUCGAUCCCAGGUCUCCAGGAUCGCGCCCUGGGCCAAAGGCAGGGGCCAAACCGCUGCGCCACCCAGGGAUCCCAGGAUUACAGUUUUGUAGACUGUUCAUCUCUGCCUUUCUCCUCUACAAGGCAAGCAGGACCCAGUUAAGCAUCAUGUUCAUCUUCAUAUCACAUUUGCUAGCCCCCUGCACAGUACAGACAUGGUAGUACUGUCCUGAAGAAUAAUUCUCAGAGGGACAUGUUCCAGACACCUUUGCUGACUGAAUUCUCUACAACAAAAAUCCUCAGCAACAACUGGCUUUCUCUCACAGGUCCCUGAAGGGAAUCAAACCCAAAGCCUUGGGCAGACCACAAGUACUCUUGCCUGGCCAGAGUGUAUCCCAAAGCAAUGGGUAUGAGGAAAACCAGAGCUGGGAAGGGUACAUAUUUUCGAAGCCUUUGGAAAAUGCUUUAUUUUCUACUGGGAGAAACUGGGAGUUCCUAGGUCUGUAGGCCAGUAAGAUAUUGACUGAUUUUCUUAUCACUAUGCCAUUUAGCGUUCUCAGAAAUGUCUCAUCAGACACAGGUUUUUCUUGAAGACUCAACUGUUAUAUAUUCGCUUUAUAAAGAUUAUGUAAUCUUUAUAUAAUUUUUAAAUGAUUUCAACAUGUCAUCAAAGUAGAAUAAGACAAAAAAAAAGUAGAAUAAGACAAGUCAAAUAAUCCUUCCCUUGGCCCUGCUACAAACUGAUUAACCAAACAGUACCUCGAAUUGUAAAUUGCUCUCGUAUGUAAAUUGGGGACAAUGAAUAAUAUUCAUCAAAGUACUUUUACAUAUAUGUCACACUUGAUCUUCACAUUUGAUUGCUCUCUGGAGUAAUCAGUGUAUCACUGUAUUGUGCCCAUUUUAUAGAUGAGGACACUGAGACUCAGAAGUGCUGCAUUGCCAAAGGUCACAGUACUAAUAAGUAACAGAAUACAACUGAAAAUGCUCUGCUAUAACUACCAAGUGCUGCCUCCCGCACCCACCAGGGAUAUGCCAAGGAUUCUUGAGACAUGAAUAUGAACUAAUCUGUAAUUGUUCUAAUAGGUGUUAUCAGGAUCCCUUAAUUUCCUCAUUUGAAAAUCAUGGAAUCUAGGAAUAACAGAGCUGCAAGUCUCUUACAGCUGAUCUAGGAACCCACCCCCUUCAUUCUGCAGGUGAAGCACAAGGAGGUUAAGUGAUUUGCCAAAGGUUACCCCAUGAGUUAGUGGAAAAUGACCAAUGUGAUUUUUAAAAAUUAGUUUAAAAAACUGCCUACCAAGCCCAUUUUUAUGGCUUAUUUUAAGCAGGUUAAUAAGUAUACCAGACAUAGCUUUAAACCCAACUGAGUAAAUGCUGACACUAGUUUAUAGAUUUAGCAGAUAAGUAGCAAUAAGGAAUUAUUCAUCUCUCAUUUAUCAUCCAGCCUCUCCAAGGUGCAAGGUAUAAAGUGAAGUAAAUAGCACUUUAAGAGCCUCCACACAUGUGAGAUCAAAACAGUAAAAAAUAAAGUGGUUUACAAAGCCAUACGUUUACAAUGUGGCUGUGCCUGAGGUUUCCUGAAAUGUGAAAAAAGAGAGAAAUUGAGGCAGAUUUUUGCAUUUUACAAAUAGACAAUUUCUUAUACAGAGAAUUCAGUCUCCAGAUUUCUUCAAGCAUAAUUAAUUUUUUGAAGUAUAUGGGAGCACCUACUCUGUGCAGAGCAUUGUGGGAGAUCUGGAGCAUUAUUAAAUAUUAUUACAGCCAUCAAUGACUUAUUUUAAGCUUAACGAAGUGACAAAAUAAAGCAUACACACACACAUAUAUACACAUGCACUUGCAUUUCGAAGAGUCAGGCGGGUAUAAGGGGGAUGUUUAUGUGAGAAUAGGAGGAAAGGGGAGACUGCCUGACUGCUGGGGUAGCCAUAACAAGGAGCACAGUAAGGAGGUGGCCUUGCCACAACCUUGUCCCCAACACCAUUUCUUUAUCAUGAGAAUGGAGUUGGGAAACAUCAUGAGCAGGGGAAAAUUCAUAAAACAAACAGGAGACAGUGAAUUGAUUACCCAAUUAAGAACCAAAUCAAAAAAUCCUCUCCCAUUUAGCUAGAUAUUAAAUACAAACUGGUAGAGAGAUGGAGGAGGGACUCAAAGAGUGCCAAGAGCAGUAACAUAAAGUAACAUAUCCCAAAAA